GAUGAACGCUGGCGGCGUGCCUAAUACAUGCAAGUCGAGCGAACAGACGAGGAGCUUGCUCCUCUGACGUUAGCGGCGGACGGGUGAGUAACACGUGGAUAACCUACCUAUAAGACUGGGAUAACUUCGGGAAACCGGAGCUAAUACCGGAUAAUAUAUUGAACCGCAUGGUUCAAUAGUGAAAGACGGUUUUGCUGUCACUUAUAGAUGGAUCCGCGCCGCAUUAGCUAGUUGGUAAGGUAACGGCUUACCAAGGCAACGAUGCGUAGCCGACCUGAGAGAGUGAUCGGCCACACGGGAACUGAAACACGGUCCAGACUCCUACGGGAGGCAGCAGUAGGGAAUCUUCCGCAAUGGGCGAGAGCCUGACGGAGCAACGCCGCGUGAGUGAUGAAGGUCUUCGGAGCGUAAAAAUCUGUUAUUAGGGAAGAACAAAUGUGUAAGUAACUAUGCACGUCUUGACGGUACCUGAUCAGAAAGCCACGGCUAACUACGUG
RNAcentral lists this ribosomal RNA (497 nucleotides) under uncultured bacterium. RNAcentral describes it as "partial 16S ribosomal RNA". It matches the Rfam family "Bacterial small subunit ribosomal RNA", at positions 28 to 507 of the family's 1533-position model. The record is from RNAcentral.